GAGUUUGAUCCUGGCUCAGGAUGAACGCUGGCGGCGUGCUUAACACAUGCAAGUCGAACGGGAAUGCCACGCUGAUGCGAUUUCGGUCAAAUCAUGUGGCAUUCGAGUGGCGGACGGGUGAGUAACGCGUGGGUAACCUGCCUUACACAGGGGCAUAACACCUGGAAACAGGUGCUAAUACCGCAUAAGCGCACAGGGCCGCAUGGCCCGGUGUGAAAAACUCCGGUGGUGUAAGAUGGACCCGCGUCUGAUUAGCUUGUUGGCGGGGUAGGGGCCCACCAAGGCGACGAUCAGUAGCCGGCCUGAGAGGGUGGACGGCCACAUUGGGACUGAGACACGGCCCAAACUCCUACGGGAGGCAGCAGUGGGGGAUAUUGGACAAUGGGGGAAACCCUGAUCCAGCGACGCCGCGUGAGUGAAGAAGUAUUUCG
This 431-nucleotide ribosomal RNA is filed under the name uncultured bacterium. RNAcentral describes it as "bacterial SSU rRNA". It matches the Rfam family "Bacterial small subunit ribosomal RNA", at positions 9 to 420 of the family's 1533-position model. The record is from RNAcentral.